RNAcentral lists this ribosomal RNA (469 nucleotides) under uncultured bacterium. Its description in RNAcentral is "partial 16S ribosomal RNA". It matches the Rfam family "Bacterial small subunit ribosomal RNA", at positions 28 to 507 of the family's 1533-position model. The record is from RNAcentral.
GACGAACGCUGGCGUCGUGCUUAACACAUGCAAGUCGAACGGAAAGGCCCUGCUUUUGUGGGGUGCUCGAGUGGCGAACGGGUGAGUAACACGUGAGUAACCUGCCCUUGACUUUGGGAUAACUUCAGGAAACUGGGGCUAAUACCGGAUAGGAGCUCCUGCUGCAUGGUGGGGGUUGGAAAGUUUCGGCGGUUGGGGAUGGACUCGCGGCUUAUCAGCUUGUUGGUGGGGUAGUGGCUUACCAAGGCUUUGACGGGUAGCCGGCCUGAGAGGGUGACCGGCCACAUUGGGACUGAGAUACGGCCCAGACUCCUACGGGAGGCAGCAGUGGGGAAUAUUUGCACAAUGGGCGGAAGCCUGAUGCAGCAACGCCGCGUGCGGGAUGACGGCCUUCGGGUUGUAAACCGCUUUCGCCUGUGACGAGGCGUGAGUGACGGUAAUGGGUAAAGAAGCACCGGCUAACUACGUG